CCUACGGGGGGCUGCAGUGAGGAAUAUUGGUCAAUGGGCGCGAGCCUGAACCAGCCAAGUAGCGUGAAGGAUGACUGCCCUACGGGUUAAACUUCUUUUAUAAAGGAAUAAAGUGAGGCACGUGUGCCUUUUUGUAUGUAUUUUAUGAAUAAGGAUCGGCUAACUCCGUGCCAGCAGCCGCGGUAAUACGGAGGAUCCGAGCGUUAUCCGGAUUUAUUGGGUUUAAAGGGAGCGUAGAUGGGUUGUUAAGUCAGUUGUGAAAGUUUGCGGCUCAACCGUAAAAUUGCAGUUGAAACUGGCAGUCUUGAGUACAGUAGAGGUGGGCGGAAUUCGUGGUGUAGCGGUGAAAUGCUUAGAUAUCACGAAGAACUCCGAUUGCGAAGGCAGCUCACUGGACUGCAACUGACACUGAGGCUCGAAAGUGUGGGUAUCAAACAGGAUUAGAUACCCUUGUAGUC
Molecule: ribosomal RNA, 458 nt
Filed under: uncultured bacterium
Lineage: Bacteria
Description: partial 16S ribosomal RNA
Rfam family: Bacterial small subunit ribosomal RNA
Source: RNAcentral